RNAcentral lists this ribosomal RNA (309 nucleotides) under Triticum aestivum (bread wheat). Its description in RNAcentral is "partial small subunit ribosomal RNA". The record is from RNAcentral. Lineage: Eukaryota; Viridiplantae; Streptophyta; Magnoliopsida; Poales; Poaceae.
AUGCCUUCAGCCCAAUACGCCCAUAGCGUGUGGGCAUUCGAGCGGCUAACAAGCCCAGGCCCAUAUUCUCGAAGCUACCUUCCUAGGGUUUCGCUUCUUGUAACCCCCCAGUGCGCAUCCCUUUCUCCCACUCCCCCCACUCCCCACCACAAGACCGCCGCCGCCGCCGCAGGAGGAGGAGAAGCAGCAGGGGCGAGAAGGAGAUCUCGCGAGGAGGCGACCGACCAUGAGGGCCAAGUGGAAGAAGAAGCGCAUGAGGAGGCUGAAGAGGAAGCGCCGAAAGAUGAGGCAGCGAUCCAAGUAGGCUGA